Molecule: ribosomal RNA, 257 nt
Filed under: uncultured bacterium
Lineage: Bacteria
Description: partial 16S ribosomal RNA
Rfam family: Bacterial small subunit ribosomal RNA
Source: RNAcentral
CGUAGGGGGCUAGCGUUAUCCGGAUUUUACUGGGCGUAAAAGGGUGCGUAGGCGGUCUUUUUAAGUCAGGAGUGAAAGGCUACGGCUCAACCGUAGUAAGCUCUUGAAAACUGGAGGACUUGAGUGCAGGAGAGGAGAGUGGAAUUCCUAGUGUAGCGGUGAAAUGCGUAGAUAUUAGGAGGAACACCAGUAGCGAAGGCGGCUCUCUGGACUGUAACUGACGCUGAGGCACGAAAGCGUGGGGAGCAAACAGGAUU